Molecule: small nuclear RNA, 106 nt
Organism: Antechinus flavipes (yellow-footed antechinus)
Lineage: Eukaryota; Metazoa; Chordata; Mammalia; Dasyuromorphia; Dasyuridae
Source: RefSeq, a predicted model, not a curated record
GCGCUUGUUUCGGCAGCACAUAUACUAAAAUUGGAAUGAUCCAGAGAAAUUAGCACAGUCCCUGCACAAGGAUGACAUGCAAAUUUGUGAAACCAAUUCUGUUUUU